RNAcentral lists this ribosomal RNA (494 nucleotides) under uncultured bacterium. RNAcentral's name for it is "partial 16S ribosomal RNA". It matches the Rfam family "Bacterial small subunit ribosomal RNA", at positions 28 to 507 of the family's 1533-position model. The record is from RNAcentral.
GACGAACGCUGGCGGCGUGCUUAACACAUGCAAGUCGAACGGUGAAGCGCCUCCCUUUUUGGUUGGUGUGGAUGCGUGGCGAACGGGUGAGUAACACGUGAGUACCCUGCCCCCUUCUUUUGGAUAACCGCAUUAAAGUGUGUCUAAUACGGGAUCUUCUGGGUCUGUCGCAUGAUGGGUCUGGGUCAGCUAUUGUUUCGGUGGGGGAUGGGCUCGCGGCCUAUCAGCUUGUUGGUGGUGUGAUGGCCUUGCAAGGCGGUGCCGGGUAGCCGGCCUGAGAGGGUAGACGGCCAGAGAGGGAGAGAGACAACGCCGAGACUGCUACGGGAGGCAGAAGUGGAGGAUAUGGCACAGUGGGCGAAAGCGUAAUGCAGGGACGACGCGGAAGGAAUAGAGGCCUGCGGGUUGUGAACCUCUUUCGGCAGUGAAGCAGGCCUGCCUCGUUUGUAGGUGGGGUGACGGUAGCUGGAAAAGAAGCGCCGGCUAACUACGUG